CCUACGGGAGGCAGCAGUGGGGAAUAUUGCACAAUGGGGGGAACCCUGAUGCAGCGACGCCGCGUGAGUGAAGAAGUAUUUCGGUAUGUAAAGCUCUAUCAGCAGGGAAGAAGAUGACGGUAUCUGUCUAAGAAGCACCGGCUAACUACGUGCCAGCAGCCGCGGUAAUACGUAGGGGGCAAGCGUUAUCCGGAUUUACUGGGUGUAAAGGGAGCGUAGACGGCAGGGCAAGUCUGGAGUGAAAGCCCGGGGCCCAACCCCGGGACUGCUUUUGAAACUGCCAUGCUAGAGUGCUGGAGAGGUAAGCGGAAUUCCUAGUGUAGCGGUGAAAUGCGUAGAUAUUAGGAGGAACACCAGUGGCGAAGGCGGCUGACUGGACAGUAACUGACGUUGAGGCUCGAAAGCGUGGGGAGCAAACAGGAUUAGAUACCCCAGUAGUC
This 440-nucleotide ribosomal RNA is filed under the name uncultured bacterium. RNAcentral's name for it is "partial 16S ribosomal RNA". It matches the Rfam family "Bacterial small subunit ribosomal RNA", at positions 338 to 795 of the family's 1533-position model. The record is from RNAcentral.